Lagenorhynchus albirostris (white-beaked dolphin) is the source of this 796-nucleotide long non-coding RNA. RefSeq lists it as uncharacterized. The transcript has 2 exons. The record is from RefSeq and is a predicted model, not a curated record. Lineage: Eukaryota; Metazoa; Chordata; Mammalia; Artiodactyla; Delphinidae.
UCCCUCCACCCGGACGCGGUCGGGUUUCCACACGCUCUGGGCUGCCUGCGAGCCGAAUAUAGAGCUCCGAGCCACGUGGACUGCUGUCGGCUCGGGCGCGGGGACCGGAUCGCCGCCCCGAGAGGGGCUCUGCGGGGACGUCUCGGCGACACUUCGCGCCGGGGCCGCCGCCUUCAGGUUUUCCUGAGGAAUGCUAAGAGGAAAAAGGCAUAGCUUGGCCUCGGGGUCAGUUAAUUCUUUCAGCUUCCCUUGCCCCAGUCGGAGAGGUCAGCCUUCUGCAGUGGAGUCAGAGAGCUCGUUAGCUCUUCAUCAGAGGAACGUGUAGUGUGUGCUUCAGACCAGGACCAGCUGGACCCGACUUCUUGGUUCAAACCUGCCACUCCCUGGAUGUGUGAAAUCGUUGGGGGAAACACUGACUGAAAGCACCAGCCCUGGCCAGGCAAAGACAGUAACAGUUUGCAUGAGUUAUUCUAUCACAGGAGGUCCUGGUAAGGAUCACAGAACUAACAAGCCACCAACAACCGGUAUCCGGGAAGGGUCUAAAGGAGAUGCCAGUCCACAUGGCCUACCAACCUCCCAGAAUCCUCCUCGCUGGAAUCCAUCUUGGCUGAGCGAUGCCCACGCCACCAGAAAGGACCCUGAAUCAGAAUGAUUGGCCAGAGGCAAUCCGGAAGCUAACCCGAUCACCAUAAAACCUGAGACUGCGAGCCAUGUAGCAGAGCCGUCCUCCUGGGUUCCCUCACCCUCCUGAUCUCCACCCGGGUUCCCCUUCCCAAUAAAGUCUCUUGCUUCGUCA